GCAGCGGUGGUUCAGUGGUAGAAUUCCCACCUUUCAUGCAGGAGACCCAGGCUCGACUCCCAGCCAAUGCA
Loxodonta africana (African savanna elephant) is the source of this 71-nucleotide transfer RNA. It matches the Rfam family "tRNA". Rfam says of the family: Transfer RNA (tRNA) molecules are approximately 80 nucleotides in length. Their secondary structure includes four short double-helical elements and three loops (D, anti-codon, and T loops). NCBI's taxonomy places the organism in Eukaryota, Metazoa, Chordata, Mammalia, Proboscidea, Elephantidae. The record is from Rfam.